GAAUCAGACAGAGAGACAGGGACAGAGGUUCUAUUCCUGUUCUAGUUGAAUCAGACAGAGAGACAGGGACAGAGGUUCUAUUCCUGUUCUAGAUGAAUCAGACAGAGAGACAGGGACAGAGGUUAUAUUCCUGUUCUAGAUGAAUCAGACAGAGAGACAGGGUCAGAGGUUCUAUUCCAAUUCUAGUUGAAUCAGACAGAGAGACAGGGACAGAGGUUCUAUUCCUGUUGAAUCAAACAGAGAGACAGGGACAGAGUUUCUAUUCCUGUUCUAGUUGAAUCAGACAGAGAGACAUGGACAGAGGUUCUAUUCCUGUUGUAUCAGACAGAGUGACAGGGACAGUGGUUCUAUUCCUGUUCUAGACGAAUCAGACAGAGAGACAGGGACAGAGGUUCUAUUCCUGUUCUAGAUGAAUCAGACAGAGAGACAGGGACAGAGGUUCUAUUCCUCUUCUAGAUGAAUCAGACAGAGAGACAGGGUCAGAGGUUCUAUUCCAAUUCUAGUUGAAUCAGACAGAGAGACAGGGACAGAGGUUCUAUUCCAGUUGAAUCAGACAGAGAGACAGGGACAGAGUUUCUAUUCCUGUUCUAGUUGAAUCAGACAGAGAGACAGGGACAGAGGUUCUAUUCCUGUUGAAUCAGACAGAGAGACAGGGACAGAGGUUCUAUUCCUGUUGAAUCAGACAGAGAGACAGGGUCAGAGGUUCUACUCCUGUUGAAUCAGACAGAGAGACAUGGACAGAGGUUAUUUAUAUUCCUGUUCUAGUUGAAUCAGACAGAGAGACAGGGACAGAGGUUCUAUUCCUGUUGAAUCAGACAGAGAGACAUGGACUGAGGUUAUAUUCCUUUUCUAGUUGAAUCAGACGGAGAGACAGGGACAGAGGUUCUAUUCCUUUUGUAGUUGAAUCAGACAGAGAGACGGGGACAGAGGUUCUAUUCCUGUUCUAGAUGAAUCAGACAGAGAGACAGGGACAGAGGUUCUAUUCCUGUUGAAUCAGACAGAGAGACAGGGUCAGAGGUUCUAUUCCUGUUGAAUCAGACAGAGAGACAGGGACAGAGGUUCUAUUCCUGUUCUAGAUGAAUCAGACAGAGCGACAGGGACAGAGGUUCUAUUCCUGUUGAAUCAGACAGAGAGACAGGGACAGAGGUUCUAUUCCUGUUCUAGAUGAAUCAGACAGAUAGACAGGGACAGAGGUUCAAUUCCUGUUCUAGUUGAAUCAGACAGAGAGACAGGGUCAGAGGUUCUAUUCCUGUUCUAGAUGAAUCAGACAGAGAGACAGGGACAGAGGUUCUAUUCCUGUUGAAUCAGACAGAGAGACAGGGACAGAGGUUAUAUUCCUGUUCUAGUUUAAUCAGACAGAGAGACAGGGACAGAGGUUCUAUUCCUGUUGAAUCAGACAGAGAGACAGGGACAGAGGUUCUAUUCCUGUUCUUGUUGAAUCAGACAGAGAGACAGGGACAGAGGUUCUAUUCCUGUUGAAUCAGACAGAGAGACAGGGACAGAGGUUCUAUUCCUGUUCUAGAUGAAUCAGACAGAGAGACAGGGACAGAGGUUCAAUUCCUGUUCUAGUUGAAUCAGACAGAGAGACAGGGACAGAGGUUCAAUUCCUGUUCUAGUUGAAUCAUACAGAGAGACAGGGUCAGAGGUUCAAUUCCUGUUCUAGAUGAAUCAGACAGAGAGACAGGGACAGAGGUUCUAUUCCUGUUGAAUCAGACAGAGAGACAGGGACAGAGGUUAUAUUCCUGUUCUAGUUUAAUCAGACAGAGAGACAGGGACAGAGGUUCUAUUCCUGUUGAAUCAGACAGAGAGACAGGGACAGAGGUUCUAUUCCUGUUCUAGUUGAA
This 1844-nucleotide long non-coding RNA is filed under the name Salmo salar (Atlantic salmon). RNAcentral's name for it is "lncRNA (ENSSSAG00000094001.1)". The record is from RNAcentral. Lineage: Eukaryota; Metazoa; Chordata; Actinopteri; Salmoniformes; Salmonidae.